RNAcentral lists this long non-coding RNA (3089 nucleotides) under Dermacentor andersoni. RNAcentral describes it as "uncharacterized LOC126521658". Lineage: Eukaryota; Metazoa; Arthropoda; Arachnida; Ixodida; Ixodidae. The record is from RNAcentral.
UUAAAGAGAAGCAGCUGCCUGCUACAACAAGGUCAUUGUGUGGACUUUGGCCGCUACUACAAGAGUCUGUGCCAAGCACAUCUUGGUCAUCACAGAAGACCCCAUCUACACCAACAGGAAGGGGCUGGAGCCGAAUUCACUAGGCUCUACACCACGAACAAAAAAGCCACUCCAGAACUAUUUGGAUGAGAUAUGAAGUCUACGGACGACUGUGUCAAGAGUGAAAAGAGCCUCAGCCAUCAUUCCACCAGCACGGAUAUUGGCCGAGUCAUCCAGGUGCCUCGACAACAAAAAUUCUGUGUCUUCAGAUGUACCUGCAACCUCUGAACAAACACAGACGAUGCUGGCCAAAAAAGUUCCGUCAGCUUGCCCUUAAUGAGCUUCCUGGCCUUGUCAAAUACCAUUUGUGCCAAGUGUAAUUUUUUUUCAAUGAAUGCAAGCUUUUUCAUUCCACAUUCUUGUUAGAGAUCAUUUCUCUUCCUCAUCCAAACAUUAAAGGUCAACCGAUUCUUUGCUCAUACUUAAUACCAGUCACUGUCUAGUAGCACAACAUAUCUGUAGCAGUAUUUUCUAGUGUACGUGCUCUCCUGAAGUAGCUGAUGCGGCAUUGGCAUGUGUCUUGCAUUAACCUUUGCACUGUGUGCUAUGUAGCAUUAAACUUUUCUUAAUGUUUUUGGCUUUCAGUGCUUGCAAGGUAGAGUUGCUUCUUUCUUGAAUGCAAGUGUUCUCAUUCCCACAUUUAAUUCCUAGUCUCAUUCAGGAUUGCUAUUCUUGCUCGACAGCCUGUGUUCUUGCACAAGCUACAUUGAAGUGAUUGAUUGCGGAAUCUGGUUUCACUGCUGUUCGACUUGGUACUCGUCACCGUGUUACGUUGCUCGUAUGUGGUAGCCUGGUCAGUUGCAUUGGGAAACAGUCUCUCAAGGCAAGCACCUGCUCCUGCAGUCCGCACAGCGACAUAGACUCCGAAUUUACACGCACCGUGAUUGGUGCUCCCAGUUCCGUCCUCUCCUGCUGCUGCCAUGUGCAAAUUAUGCUUGUGGCCUUCCUCAGCCAUGAUUUUGCAUCAACGGAGACUAUCAUACGUGAAUACAUGGUCCGAAGUGUAUGAAGUUGAUAUCCACAUGGAUGGAAAGGUCUGCAAAAGUGGCUGCAAAAUGGUGAUGCUCACUACACCAACCAUGCCCAUAUUUAGAAAAUGUGGGGCACCAAAUGUGAGUUACACAUUAGUGGCACACGAAAGAACAAAAAGAAAUGUGCAGGUUGGAAAGGAGGUAAUGCUGAAAUGCCGGGCACUCUAUGUUGCUAUGUUGCCUGCGGCAGCAGAUGCUUGCGUCACCCAAUUGCUUUGCAAUGCAAGUAGCUCAUCUUCAACAGCGACUGUCAGUGCAAACACGUGGGACGCACUGUCCAAUCUGCUUGCACUGCUGGUUGUCACUUGUUCCCAGACCACCACGUGCGACGAAGGCAAGCACUAUGCCUGCAGUUGGAUGGUUGAAUGUGCCAUAAGUGACCCGUGUGCGUGUAUGCUCACUGUUGUCAUGUGGAUCGUAGCCAAUGUAUAGUGCCAAUGCCUUAUGUUAGAAGUAUGCUGAUGUGAUUGGAUUGCAGAGUCUUAUUUCAAGGCUGUCCCACUUGGUCAUGAUUGCCGUGUUACAUUUCUGGGAUGUGGUGGCCUGGUCAGUUGCAUUGGGCAACAGCUUUUCAAGGUAAGCACCUGCUCCUGCAGUCCGCACAGUGACAUAGACUCCCUGUUUACACGCACCGUGGUUAGUGCUCCCCGUUCUGUCCUUUCCUGCUGCAGCCGUGUGCAAAUUUUGCUUGUGGCCUUCCUCGGCCAUGAUUUGGCGUCAACGGAGACUAUCAUAUGUGAUUACAUGGUCCGAAGUGUAUAGGGUUGAUAUCCACAUGGGUGGAAAAGCCUGCAAAAGUGCCUGUAAAACAGUGAUCCUCACAAAACAGACCAUGUCCAUACUGAGAGCAAGUGGGGCACCAAGUGUGAGCGACACAUUAGCGGCCACCGAAAGAACAACAAGAAAUGUGCAGGUUGGAAAGGAGGUAAUGCUGAAAUGCCGGGCACUCCAUGUCACUAUGUUGCCUGCAGCAGCAGAUGCUUGCGUCACCCCAUUGACUCGCAAUGCAACUUACAGCGACUGUCGAUGCAAACAGGUGGGACCCUGUCAAAUCUGCUUGUGCUGCUGGUUGUCACUCAUUACUAGACUGCCAUGUGCGACGAAGGCAAGCACUGUGCCUAAAGUCAGAUAGCUGAAUGUGUUGUAAGUGACCCGUAGUGCGUGAAUGCUCACUGUUGUCAUGUGGAUAUUAGCCAAUGUACAGUGUAUUGUCUGAACCUUAUGAGGUGAUUGAAUGCCGAGUAUCAUUUGAUCAUGGUCACAGUGUUGUUUCUUGGAUGUGGCGACCUGGUCAGUUGCAUUGGGCAGCAGUCUCAUGAGGUAACCAUCUGCUCCCGCAGUCCACAGAGUGAAUUUACACACACCAUAAUUAGUGCUCUCCGUUCGACCUUUCCUGCUGCAGCUGUGGGUAAAUUAUGCUUGUGGGCCUUCAUCGGCUGUGAUGGGGAAUGAGUGGACAUCAGCAUACGUCAUUACAUCAUCCGAAGUGUAUGAAGUUGAUAGCCACAUGGGUGGAAAGGCCUGCAAAAGUGGCUGCAAAAUGGUGAUGCCCACAAAACCGACCAUGCCCGUAUUGAAAAUGUGGGGCACCAAGUGUGAGUCACACAUUAGCGGCACGCGAGAGAACAAAAAGAAUCGUGCAGGUUGGAAAGGAGGUAACGCUAAAAUGCCGCGUAGUCCAUGUCACUCUGUUGGCUGCAGCAGCAGAUGCCUGCAUCACCCGAUUGCUUCGCAAUGCAAGUUAGGGUGACUGUCAAUGCAAAAAGGUGGGGCACUGUCCAAUUUGCUUGCGCUGCUGAUUGUUACCAGACCGCCAUGAAUGAAUGAAUGAAUGAAUGUGCGACGACGACGAAAGUGAGCUUCUCAGCGCAUCUCGAGGCGCAAAUUUUAUUUCUGCUCUUGUAGGGGAAGGUGCACUGCUUUUCUUCUGCCAGUAAAGUCGCACGUCCUGUUCACUCA